UUUGAUUCAUACUUAUAGUCGUAUGCUCCUGGUGUUCUUUAUUUCCUCUCCCCCUUUCCCGUUUAUUUAUUAGGGUUUCUCAUGAUUUCAGCCUCCAUUAUCUUUUCUCAAGACAUCAUAUGGUGAUUCUCUCCCUAAAGUUAUGAUAUUUGUUUAUAUUCUGUUUUAGUCUUUGUCACAUUGGCCUCUUGAUGCGAAACCUUUGUUGUUUCUUCACCCUGGUGACCUCACCGUUACUCUGAAUAAGAUCAUUUUCAUUUUGUUAUUUUCGUAGUCAAUGUAAACAUCUGUGCUAUAUAUUAUACACAUACACAUGGAGUCUUGAACUCACAAUCUACUGUUGCAGAAGGCUUGAUUAGCAUAAAUAGGGUGACCACUACCUGGAUCUUUUUUAUUUGAUUAAAAAAUUUCUGAGUAGUUUAUACAUGGAAUAAUCUAAUAUAAUCUGCAAUUGUAAGGAAAAAAGGCACCAGACAACGUUUUUGGUCAUUUGAUUAGAUGUCCUGCCAGUUUUUAAAAAUCUAUCAAAUUAGCCUCAUAUUGAAAUUGAAUCACCUUCUUGGAAAAAGCUACACCAUGCUUUAUGAUGUGAAAGUUUGUACUUGUGCAAUCUGUAGUUAAUAUGGACUUUGAUCUCUUUUACAACAUCAAUUCUUAUAAUGCUCAUCUUGCAGCUAAUGUCACAAGGUUUGUUUUGGUUAUGAAAUUGGAAACUACUUAUUCAUACCAUUUUUGAGAUUAAAUAAGUAAACCUUAAGUCGAAAGUGAUUCUUUUAAAUUUGUAUAAGCCAUUAUGUUAAACUUGGAAAUGGUAGGUUUAAUGUCAAAAAUUCAGUAAAUUAUGUUGGCAGGAAUGCAGCAUGUUAUAUGAUAAGUAUGAUGCAAGUUUCAGUUUUGUAUUUUUAUGUAGAAUUUAUGCUGUUUAAUUUCAUUUUUAUGUAAGUUUAUCUAUAUCUAUAUCUAUCUAGCUGUAUUUUUGUCUGGAAUGAGGAAGCUUAGCCAAAUCAGACAUUGAUGUGCUCCAUAGGGAUGGAUGGUUACACUUGACAUCCUUUUGUUGAAGCGCAUCUCUCUGAUGAUAAAACAGAGAUGGGUUACUAGCUGACCAGAUUAAUUUACUUCAUGCACCAUAUACAUAAUUUACAAGUCUUUAAACCAACAAACUCUUAAAUUUUAAAAGCAUCUACUCUAUAUAUGUAAUUCCGAAAAAGCAGCUGUAACACACAUGCUUAUGUUUAUGUUAAAAUAAUUUAUUCAGCUAUACUUUUAAUUUCAUGCAGUUAGACUAAUGAGUCGGAAGACUCAAGAACGAUCUAGAAAAUGCUAGAUCAUGCAAGAAUAACUUGGAUAAUAUCAUAACAUCCUAGAAAUAUCUAGAACAUUAUAGAAUAGUGUAUCAUAAUAUGGAGUCUUGUAAAGAUAAUGUAGAUAUUGAUAGAACACUCUAGAAUAGUCGAGAAUAUACGGGACCUAGAAACUUCCCAUGAGGAGGUGUAAUGUCCCUAUAAAUAGGAAGGAGGUCUUAUUUGUAGAGACUAUCGAGAAGUCGUUGUAAUCUCUUGAGUUCUUAUAAUACAAACACUCUUUGUAUUCUUGAAAUGUUAGUCUCUUGCUUUCCGAUUUCGUUAUUACAUUUAAGAUUGUUGAAGUAGCCUGACUUAGUCAAAGUAAAACUAAGUGGCACACGAGAUAGACUAAUCGUAAGGGUCAUCUCGUGACAACAAGCCGGCAUGUUUUCUUUUAUGUCUGAAAAUGUGUCUGUGUUGAUAAAGUGUUGCAUAUAAAAUGUCUAUUUCUUUUUAAGUAUGAAUGAACUUUAUCAAUGUCAAAUAAAGGAUCAUUUUACAUGUUCUGU
This 1855-nucleotide long non-coding RNA is filed under the name Lactuca sativa (garden lettuce). Its description in RNAcentral is "long non-coding RNA (LSAT_LNC001870)". The stretch from base 981 to 1110 matches the Rfam family "small nucleolar RNA snoR127". The record is from RNAcentral. Lineage: Eukaryota; Viridiplantae; Streptophyta; Magnoliopsida; Asterales; Asteraceae.